AAUUUCUCCCCAUCCUGGUUGUACCUCAAUAAAAACGUGUCCCCCCCCAAAAAAUUGGGGGUCUGGAGUGUGGGUGUGUCCCUCCUUUUAUUCCUUUUUGGGGGGGGGGGUCCCCAAAGUCCCCCCCCAUCCUGGUUGUACCCCAGUAAAAGUGUGUGUCCCCCCCCAAAAUUGGGGAUCUGGAGUGUGGGUGUGUCCCUCCUUUUAUUCCUUUUUGGGGGGGGUCCCCCAAAUUCCCCCCCCAUCCUGGUUAUACCCCAAUAAAAACGUGUGUCCCCCCCCCAAAAUUAGGGGUCUGGAAAGUGUG
Molecule: long non-coding RNA, 307 nt
Organism: Corapipo altera (White-ruffed manakin)
Lineage: Eukaryota; Metazoa; Chordata; Aves; Passeriformes; Pipridae
Exons: 3
Source: RefSeq, a predicted model, not a curated record